AAUAGAUACCCAGGUAGUCCUAGCCCUAAACGAUGAGUGCUUGGUGUGGCGGGUAUCGAUCCCUGCCGUGCCGAAGCUAACGCAUUAAGUAUCCCGCCUGGGGAGUACGGCCGCAAGGCUAAAACUCAAAGGAAUUGACGGGUCCCCGCACAAGCGGCGGAGCAUGCGGCUUAAUUCGAUGCAACCCGAAGAACCUUACCUGGGUUUGACAUCACGGGAAAAGCUGUAGAAAUACAGUGUCCAUUAGGGCCCGUGACAGGUGGUGCAUGGCUGUCGUCAGCUCGUGUCGUGAGAUGUUGGGUUAAGUCCCGCAACGAGCGCAACCCUUGUCCUAUGUUGCCAGCGGUUCGGCCGGGGACUCAUAGGAGACUGCCGGGGAUAACUCGGAGGAAGGUGAGGACGACGUCAAGUCAUCAUGCCCCUUAUAUCCAGGGCUGCACGCAUGCUACAAUGGCCGGUACAACGGGCAGCGACCCCGCGAGGGUGAGCGAAUCCUAAAAAGCCGGUCCUAGUUCGGAUUGAAGUCUGCAACUCGUA
Molecule: ribosomal RNA, 537 nt
Filed under: uncultured bacterium
Lineage: Bacteria
Description: bacterial SSU rRNA
Rfam family: Bacterial small subunit ribosomal RNA
Source: RNAcentral